RNAcentral lists this ribosomal RNA (253 nucleotides) under uncultured bacterium. RNAcentral describes it as "partial 16S ribosomal RNA". It matches the Rfam family "Bacterial small subunit ribosomal RNA", at positions 524 to 776 of the family's 1533-position model. The record is from RNAcentral.
UACGAAGGGUGCAAACGUUGCUCGGAAUUAUUGGGCGUAAAGCGCACGUAGGCGGCUUGGCAAGUCGGAUGUGAAAGCCCACGGCUCAACCAUGGAAGUGCAUCCGAAACUGCUGAGCUUGAGUACGGAAGAGGCGAGUGGAAUUCCUGGUGUAGCGGUGAAAUGCGCAGAUAUCAGGAGGAACACCAAUGGCGAAGGCAGCUUGCUGGCAUGUUUCUGACGCUAAGGCACGAAAGCGUGGGUAGCGAACAGG